AACGAACGCUGGCGGCGUGCUUAACACAUGCAAGUCCUACGAGAAAGUCCCUUCGGGGAUGAGUAAAGUGGCGAACGGGUGAGUAAUACGUGGGUAACCUGCCUUUACGACUGGGAUAACAUUCCGAACGGGGUGCUAAUACCGGAUAAGACCACGGUACGGGAGUACCGUGGGAAAACGAUGGCCUCUGACUUAAGCUAUCGCGUAAAGAUGGGCGCACGGCCUAUCAGCUUGGUGGCGGGGUAACGGCCCACCAAGGCUUCGACGGCGUGGCCGGCCUGAGAGGGUGAACGGCCACACUGGAACUGAGGCACGGUCCAGACUCCUACGGGAGGCAGCAGUGGGGAAUUUUGCGCAAUGGGCGAAAGCCUGACGCAGCAACGCCGCGUGAGGGACGAAGGCCUUCGGGUUGUAAACCUCUUUUAAUCGGGAAGAACCCCUUCCUUGCAAAUAGUGAGGGAGGCUGACGGUACCGAUAGAAUAAGCCACGGCUAA
This 495-nucleotide ribosomal RNA is filed under the name uncultured bacterium. RNAcentral's name for it is "partial 16S ribosomal RNA". It matches the Rfam family "Bacterial small subunit ribosomal RNA", at positions 29 to 500 of the family's 1533-position model. The record is from RNAcentral.